This is a non-coding RNA of Rhinichthys klamathensis goyatoka, 501 nucleotides long. The record is from the annotation of a RefSeq genome assembly. NCBI's taxonomy places the organism in Eukaryota, Metazoa, Chordata, Actinopteri, Cypriniformes, Leuciscidae.
AGGCUCAGAACUCCUCAGUAUAUUUUAUGACUUUGGUGAUUGGAAAGCACAACUGAAAUAAUGACAAACUGGAAAAGGGUGGUUAUCUUUCUAUUCACAUAUUUCUGGGGCUGUGAUUCUCUGGACAGUGUUGAACAGAAAACAAGAGCUCAAAUUGCUUUUGAAGGUGAAUCUGUAACAAUCAACUGUACAUAUUCAACCACUGAUUCAUUUCCAUAUCUCUUCUGGUACCAGCAAGAAAUAAACGGAUUUCCUAAAUAUAUGCUAAAGAAAUUUCCUGGAUCUGGAACUACUGAGGAUGAAUUUAAGGAGAGAUUUUCUGCAACAUUGAACUCCACAUCAAGAUCUGUUCCACUGACAAUCCAGGAUGUGAGUGUGUCAGACUCUGCUGUGUAUUACUGUGCUCUGCAGCCCACUGUGACUCAAACACACUCAACACUCAUACAAAAACUUAGGGAGACACAUUACAGCGGAUAAAAUAAUCAGCCAUAAAGGGUAUAA